Molecule: transfer RNA, 94 nt
Filed under: Aquifex aeolicus
Lineage: Bacteria; Pseudomonadati; Aquificota; Aquificia; Aquificales; Aquificaceae
Also listed under: 2 other names
Description: tRNA-Ser
Rfam family: tRNA
About the family: Transfer RNA (tRNA) molecules are approximately 80 nucleotides in length. Their secondary structure includes four short double-helical elements and three loops (D, anti-codon, and T loops). Further hydrogen bonds mediate the characteristic L-shaped molecular structure. tRNAs have two regions of fundamental functional importance: the anti-codon, which is responsible for specific mRNA codon recognition, and the 3' end, to which the tRNAs corresponding amino acid is attached (by aminoacyl-tRNA synthetases). tRNAs cope with the degeneracy of the genetic code in two manners: having more than one tRNA (with a specific anti-codon) for a particular amino acid; and 'wobble' base-pairing, i.e. permitting non-standard base-pairing at the 3rd anti-codon position.
Source: RNAcentral
GGAGGGGUGGCCGAGCGGACGAAGGCGGGGGAUUUGAAAUCCCUUGGGCGGGCUCUCCCCCGCCCCGUGGGUUCGAAUCCCACCCCCUCCGCCU